Molecule: RNA transcript, 3047 nt
Organism: Daphnia pulex (common water flea)
Lineage: Eukaryota; Metazoa; Arthropoda; Branchiopoda; Diplostraca; Daphniidae
Gene name: ubiquinone biosynthesis O-methyltransferase, mitochondrial-like
Exons: 6
Source: RefSeq, a predicted model, not a curated record
AGACACAGGAUAGCAGACACAUCGAGUCACAACAGAAAUCGAAAUCCUGAGACGAGCAUUUGAAAGUUGAAACUACAAUCACAGGAUUCACAGCUACAAUGUUGCUGAAGCAUUGUGUUACUUCUCUCCCAGUCCGAGGCCUGUCGUCUGUAAGAAACUAUUCAAUCAAAUCAACGCUGAGUGAAAAUGAAAUCCAGAAAUUCAGUAAAAUGGCAAAGGAAUGGUGGGAUGUUAAUGGACCAUUCAGUGGGUUACACUCUUUAAAUAAACUAAGAGUUCCAUUCAUCCGAAAUGGAAUAUGCUCUCAUCAAAAAUCAGCUGUUGUUAACAAUUCUCCGACAAGUCCAUUGGCAGGAUGUAGCAUAUUGGAUGUAGGAUGUGGUGGUGGAAUUUUGAGCACAAGUCUGGGCCGUUUGGGAGCAAGUGUUACAGGAAUUGAUCCAAGUGAAGAAAAUAUUGCAGCAGCCUCUCUUCAUGCUAAUAAAAUGAGGCUUCAGAAUGUGACCUUUGAAGUCAAUACCAUUGAACAUUUUCAAGCAUUAAACACUAGUUUGUCAACCACCUUUGAUGCAGUUGUUGCAUCUGAAGUCAUUGAGCAUGUAGAAAAUCCAAAAUUUUUCAUCCAAACAUGCACUGAAUUACUCAAACCAGGAGGUUCUUUAUUCAUAACAACUUUAAAUAAGACUCCUGCUUCUUGGGCCCUUGCCAUUUGUGGUGCAGAAUAUAUUCUCAAUGUUGUACCAAGAGGAACACAUGAUUGGAAUAAGUUUAUCACUCCUGAUGAACUAAUAGACUACAUUAAUAGCAGUGGAUGCCAGCUUCGACAAAUAUGUGGCAUGGCUUACAACCCUUUUAUGAACAAAUGGAAAUGGUCAAGAACCACCAGCGUCAACUAUGCUGUACACGCUACAAAAUCGUCUCAGCUAACAUCACCGGAUCAAAGAAAUUUUACAUAAGCCUACAGAUAUUGGUCCCUAUUUACAAGUUGUCGACGGAAAUCUUUGUGAAACUUGUUCAGCUUCAAUCAAUUAUCAAGAUAUCACACAUACUGAUAAUCAAGACGGCAUUUGGAUUUUUUAAGACCUGCCGUUCUUCCUCUAUUGAACGUGCUAGUGCCGUUACGUUGCCGGCUCCAAACCCACGAGCUCCUUUUCUUUGAACCAGUUCUAGAAAAAAAGUUUCUUCCUUGAAUAAAUUAAGUGUAAAAAUCUGCAGCAGAAACCUGUUCAAAAUGACAAAACGACACGAAAGGUCAGUUUAUAAUGAAGCAGUUAAAUAUAACACAAAAUCUCACUUGUCUUGAUUGUCUUUAGCAUUUGUAUCCGCUUCGGAGUCAAUGAGAAUUCCCAAUUGCUCGAAUUUGUUAAUGUCGUAGCCUGCCGCUUCUAUUUCAUUUCUUUUCCAUUUCUGGGUUUCAUUUAAGGUUUAACAAAUUCCAUUAAAGAAUGUGUGAGCAAAAUUCUUUUUAAAAACGGACAUUACGUACGUUACGAUAAUAGGCUGCAGGUGGUGUUCGGAAUGAAACCUUUUUGCGGCUCAUGCUAUCCACGCAGCUGGUGAUGUCAAGGGUGCUAAGACCGAUGUGUUGAAGUCCUGGUCCUCCAUGACCGUCAAGGAAAGCAUUUAUGUGCAAAUUUUCUAGAAAUCACGUGUUCGGUAUUAUUCGUGAGAAUAAUAAUAAAAAAAAAAGGUUUAUAAAAUUUACCUAUUCCUGGAAGGGACUCUGCGAUGACAAUUUUCAACGACGUUUCGUCCAUGCCAUUGCUGGGAUCGGAAUUACAAAUGCCAGACUCGGCACAAGGCCAAUAGUCCAUAACUCGUAGCCUCAUACCAACUCCAUCUUUGAUCACUAAGCCUUCUGUAAGAUCCUCUGUUGGGUUGGUUUUAAAUUUUUGCAUCCCCAAACAACUUUGAUACCACUGAAUGAUGCCCGGUGAUUCUCCGGGAUGGCAAACAUAAGUUAGAUGAUCUAUGUGGGUUAUUUUCUCUUCACCACGGGUUGUAAAUGAUUCAUCGAAAGUGGGCAGAAACGAUCCUUUGUACUGUGACUUGUCCAAAAGAGUAUGCACUAUAUUGCCGCAACAGGAACUGACAAUUGAAUAUCUCACUUUUCCACUCUGGUCUUCUACUUCUGUUACCGGGUGAAAUAGUUUUCCUCCUACAUUUUGCAUUCUUUCAGUUACAGAUUCCAAAUUUUUCACCUCCAAAGCCACAUUAAAUACAGAGUCGACUUGGCGAAGAGGCGCAGAGAAGUAAGAAAAUGGCACAUGUUCCUGUUGAAAUUUUGUCUUCUUUUCCGUGACGACGAAUGUAGAUUUCUGACUUCCAACCACCCACUGUUUGCUUAGUACAGUAUCUCUUUGUGCUCUGAGAGAAUAUCCGAGUUUCUCAGUGAAAUACGAAGCGAUCUUUUUUCCGUUAGCCACACACAGCUCGACAUGGUGUAAUGCGCUUAGAUGCAUUCGAUUCAAAUCAGAAUUGUAUUAAUGGUCUAAAGAAAAAAGAGAGACUCUUGAAGAAUCAACAAGCUCAAACUGAUGGUUCGUGUCUAUUGAAAAUUCUCAACGUGAUUGUGAUUGUUUCUUUGCAAAGAGCAUGUUUUAAACAAGUUUAGCAGGUACGGCGGUGACAAAAUAUGGUUUUUUGAUUUUAAGUUUAUAGAAAGUUUUUUUUUUUCGGUUAAAUUUCAUUCACUUCACAUGUGGUAACAAAAGGACCCGACGUUGUGUUUCGGAUUGGAUUCGGAUUGGAUUUGCAAGACUGGUCCGUUGCGUAAAUCUUCAUAACCGACUACUUUCGAAACAAGUGUCCUUUAACAGGCUCUCUUACGGUGAAAUCUAAAGAAACUUUUACUUCAACUUUUUUUAAAUAGAGUUAACUAGGCCACAGCUUUACCAAAGUUGAAAUGGAAAGAGUUGAAAAACAACUAGCGUUAAUCGCGUUUUACCACUGACUUUGUUCUGGUCUGUUAUUGAAACUGUGCUUGAAUACACCUUAUUUCACUGUCUUAGAACGUGUCACACUCAUCGCAAAAACUGUCAGCGUUU